This 252-nucleotide ribosomal RNA is filed under the name uncultured bacterium. RNAcentral's name for it is "partial 16S ribosomal RNA". It matches the Rfam family "Bacterial small subunit ribosomal RNA", at positions 524 to 776 of the family's 1533-position model. The record is from RNAcentral.
UACGAAGGGGGCUAGCGUUGUUCGGAUUACUGGGCGUAAAGCGCACGUAGGCGGAUUGGUCAGUUAGGGGUGAAAUCCUGGAGCUCAACUCCAGAACUGCCUUUAAUACUGCCAGUCUCGAGUCCGGAAGAGGUAAGUGGAACUCCUAGUGUAGAGGUGGAAUUCGUAGAUAUUAGGAAGAACACCAGUGGCGAAGGCGGCUUACUGGUCCGGUACUGACGCUGAGGUGCGAAAGCGUGGGGAGCAAACAGG